CAGAUCCUAAAAUUUUUAUUUCUCCUGUUAUUUCGGCAGAGCGUAUGGGGUUCCUGGGAGUAGGAGAAAAACUCAUAACAAGGAAAUCACUAAAUUCUCAAUCAAGGUCAUCCCACGUGUCAAAGUUGACAGAGUCCUGUCUGUUUCACCUGUUACGAGAGUGUGCAGCUGCAUCACAGAUCCGGGUUUAUUCAAUCUGGAUCAUAAAGCUAUGGUCUUACAUGAAACAAGGGAUGCGGGAUUUAUGAUCGUGUUUGGUUUGGGUUAUCAAGAGUCUAUUUCCUGUCAAUAGGAAAUGAAAUCAUAAAAAAUAAAACUACCGAUAGGACUCAACACGGGAACUGCUGUAUCAUAAUGACCGUGUUCCCAUGGUGAUCUCACAAGAUAUGCAAACACCCGGGGCCACUUUACCGUCAGCACACGAUUUAGGAGUGACAUUGAGUCCGUUGGUAGAUGGUAGGCGUCUGCCUGUAGCCUCAGAGGCCUGCCGACAACCAAAAACUACCAGGAGCAGGAUGCUGGAAGCUGCCAUAGUAUUCCACUAACUUGAAAGCCACCCUGAUGCAUGAUUGUCAAAGAUUUAGGAAUAUAAAAGAAAAGUCAAAUUGAGCGCUUUGGAGGUAAGCAACUUUGGUGCUAACUCCACGCUCAACCUCAAGACCCAUGGGCAGCCUAGAGGACAAAGUCACAUUGGUGGACCUUGUCCUUGAUUCAGGUGUCUGGUGCCUCCAGCAAAUCAAGCUGCCCGUGCUUUAAAAAUCUGUGGAAAGUAGCAUCAGCCGUGCCACGGACUUGAACUUGAGUCAGGCCUGCUCGUCACGAGGCUCCUCUUUCCAGCGGAGCAUGGUGGGUGGAGGCGUGCGACAGUGACUUCGCUUUGCUCUGAAGUUGGGACGCAGGCACAGCACACCAUAAAGACAACAGGCAACAUGACGGUGGAAUGUUCGGGAAGAAGAAGAAAGCCUGGAAGCCAACCUGCUGUGUCCUGAUUAGACUCCGGGUGGGUCGGCUCAAGCAAACGGGAGGCAGAAAGGACCUCGAUCAUUUUGGAAAUCCGUGCUACCGACGGACAGAGGGCCGUCAUCCAGAGGACAAUUUUUAUAGCCCGGUCCGGUGUCGGGGAGAAUGCUGAGCCUUUCUGUGUAGGCAUGGUCUUAGAGGAGAGCAACCGUGGCUGACGGGGCACCUUCUAAUGAGAAGAUUAGAAACAGAACACACAGCUUGUCCUGGCUGUGCCUCCAGCUGUGGAACCCAGGGCACAUCCCUUAAGUCGAAUUUCGGUUUUUCUCCUGUGUCACCAAAGAUCACUCCUGAGUGUCCGUCCUAUGUGUCGCUCGCUGCUGCAGCAUUUGAUACUGGUACCUGUCCCGAGCCUAAAACUCCUUCCUAUCUGGUUCGAAUGCAGAUUCUGAAUCCGUCGGACUGGGGGUGGGGCCCGAGAUUCUGUAUUUCUACCAAGUUUCCAGGGAAGGAAGGCAGGUGCUGGUGGUCCGUGGACCACGCUUGUAGUAGCACGGCCCUCGCCUAGUUCCUGGCACUUCGAGGCACGCGGUGGCAUUUACCUCUCCCCGCCCGUCUCUGCUCCUCCCUCUUGGUGCCUUUGACGUUUUCUCAUACCACUUGCACAUGGCUCCCCGCACCAUGCUUUAGUUAGCUGCUGUCUCCAUGUCUCCCACGAGACUGCGAGCGGUUUGGGGGUAGACACUACACAGCCUUCCUUUCAAUGUCAUCCGUGCCCUGCGUUGGACCAGGUACAUAAAAAAAGGAUCAAUCAAUGUUUGAUGAACUAAGCCUGUAAAUUGGAAAUCAGAACAUCAGUGCUGCCUGCCUCGACGAGUUGUUGUCGUGAGCAAACGCCGUAAUUUGGGAGAGAGAGCGUGGAAACGGAUCGUACGGUACAAACAUAAAGUGUUAUUAUCAAUCAGCUUUCUACUCUGCAGCAGUUCAGACCCCUGUAGCUGAAGCAUGUUGGUUGUGGCAUUCGCUCGGGCUCUGAUGAUUAUAAAAACUCAGAUUCAUCUAUGAUUUCAAAAUAAACCACAUUCUCUCCAGGCUAACAAGGGUGGCAGUCUCUGCCCAUGGGUGAUGAAGGAUCAAAGAGGUUCAGACUACAGUGGGUUAUCAAGGAGACUCGACCUGGUCCAGGCCUAUGUAGGCAGCAGCUUAGGCCUCCAGAGGCUCCCUGAGUACAGUGGGAUCCUGAGAGAGGGAAGGCACCAGCUUUUAAGCAGGUGACAAGAAGAAAGUACAGAACUGGAAUCCCUUCUAGAGGGAAAGCUGACCCCUGCCUUUAGAGAGAAGCAAGAGAGAGAGAACCACUAGAGAGAAGGCAAGAAUGGAAGACCCAGAGGCCAAGAGACACUCUAAUCAUGCAGAAACCUCCUAGCUAAGAAGGUAAACCCAGCCAUUUCUUGGGAAGGUGUUCCUAAAUUUGCUUCAGCUGACAUAAUUGUUGUCUUAGUAAAUAUGCAUCCCUCAGUCCUGGGAAGAUUUAGAAUUAAAGAGAGCUACCGUGAAGGAAAUCACACCUCAUGGUGUUAUAUUUUUAUAGUAAAGAAUCUACCUAGUUGGUAUUUUAAAUGCCUCUAAUGUUUAAGGUUUUAAAUACUCAUAUUUAAUAGAAAUAUUUUA
Molecule: long non-coding RNA, 2631 nt
Organism: Herpailurus yagouaroundi (jaguarundi)
Lineage: Eukaryota; Metazoa; Chordata; Mammalia; Carnivora; Felidae
Exons: 3
Source: RefSeq, a predicted model, not a curated record